This 523-nucleotide ribosomal RNA is filed under the name Helicobacter pylori. RNAcentral describes it as "bacterial SSU rRNA". It matches the Rfam family "Bacterial small subunit ribosomal RNA", at positions 217 to 752 of the family's 1533-position model. The record is from RNAcentral. Lineage: Bacteria; Pseudomonadati; Campylobacterota; Epsilonproteobacteria; Campylobacterales; Helicobacteraceae.
GCUAAGAGAUCAGCCUAUGUCCUAUCAGCUUGUUGGUAAGGUAAUGGCUUACCAAGGCUAUGACGGGUAUCCGGCCUGAGAGGGUGAACGGACACACUUGGAACUGAGACACGGUCCAGACUCCUACGGGAGGCAGCAGUAGGGAAUAUUGCUCAAUGGGGGAAACCCUGAAGCAGCAACGCCGCGUGGAGGAUGAAGGUUUUAGGAUUGUAAACUCCUUUUGUUAGAGAAGAUAAUGACGGUAUCUAACGAAUAAGCACCGGCUAACUCCGUGCCAGCAGCCGCGGUAAUACGGAGGGUGCAAGCGUUACUCGGAAUCACUGGGCGUAAAGAGCGCGUAGGCGGGAUAGUCAGUCAGGUGUGAAAUCCUAUGGCUUAACCAUAGAACUGCAUUUGAAACUACUAUUCUAGAGUGUGGGAGAGGUAAGGUGGGAAUUCUUGCGUGUAGGGGUAAAAUCCGUAGAGAUCAAGAGGAAUACUCAUUGCGAAGGCGACCUGCUGGAACAUUACUGACGCUGAUUGC